RNAcentral lists this unclassified non-coding RNA (228 nucleotides) under uncultured Agaricales. RNAcentral describes it as "sequence contains ITS1". Lineage: Eukaryota; Fungi; Basidiomycota; Agaricomycetes; Agaricales. The record is from RNAcentral.
CAGAAUUAACGAAGGGUUGUCGCUGGCUCUUAGGAGCAUGUGCACGCCCUUCAAAUUCUUCUCAACCACCUGUGCACUUUUGUAGACUAUGAUACCUCUCAACACUUUUUGUUGGAUUGAAGGGUUUGCGAUUCAGCUGCCUUUCAAUUUCGUAGUCUAUGUUUAUAUCUAUAUACAAAGUCCUAGAAUGUCUUUUUGUGGGUCUUUGACUGACCUAUAAAACUUAUA